AGGGCACCACCAGGAGUGGAGCCUGCGGCUUAAUUUGACUCAGCACGGGAAAACUCACCCGGCCCGGACACUGGAAGGAUUGACAGAUUGAGAGCUCUUUCUUGAUUCAGUGGGUGGUGGUGCAUGGCCGUCCUUAGUUGGUGGAGUGAUUUGUCUGGUUAAUUCCGAUAACGAACGAGACUCUAGCCUACUAAAUAGAUCGUCGGCUUACAAACGCCGGCGAGACUUCUUAGAGGGACAGGCGGUGAUUCAACCGCACGAAGCAGAGCAAUAACAGGUCUGUGAUGCCCUUAGAUGUCCGGGGCCGCACGCGCGCUACACUGAAGUGAUCAGCGUGCUUUUUCAACCUACUCUGUCAAGAGUGGGGAACCCAAUGAACCUUCUUCGUGAUUGGGAUAGGGGAUUGUAAUUAUUCCCCUUGAACGAGGAAUUCCCAGUAAGCGCGAGUCAUAAGCUCGCGUUGAUUACGUCCCUGCCCUUUGUACACACCGCCCGUCGCUACUACCGAUUGAAUGUUUU
Molecule: ribosomal RNA, 519 nt
Filed under: uncultured eukaryote
Lineage: Eukaryota
Description: SSU rRNA
Rfam family: Eukaryotic small subunit ribosomal RNA
Source: RNAcentral